This 253-nucleotide ribosomal RNA is filed under the name uncultured bacterium. Its description in RNAcentral is "partial 16S ribosomal RNA". It matches the Rfam family "Bacterial small subunit ribosomal RNA", at positions 524 to 776 of the family's 1533-position model. The record is from RNAcentral.
UACGUAGGGGCAAGCGUUGUCCGGAAUUAUUGGGCGUAAAGAGCGCGUAGGCGGUCCGGUAAGUCGGCUGUGAAAGUCAAGGGCUCAACCCUUGAAAGCCGGCCGAUACUGUCGGACUAGAGUCCGGAAGAGGCGAGUGGAAUUCCUGGUGGUAGCGGUGGAAUGCGCAGAUAUCAGGAGGAACACCAAUGGCGAAGGCAGAUCUCUGGGCCGUAACUGACGCUGAGGAGCGAAAGCAUGGGGAGCGAACAGG